GACGAACGCUGGCGGCGUGCCUAAUACAUGCAAGUUGAGCGAUGAAGAUUGGUGCUUGCACCAAUUUGCAGAGCAGCGAACGGGUGAGUAACGCGUGGGGAAUCUGCCUUUGAGCGGGGGACAACAUUUGGAAACGAAUGCUAAUACCGCAUAACAACUUUAAACAUAAGUUUUAAGUUUGAAAGAUGCAAUUGCAUCACUCAAAGAUGAUCCCGCGUUGUAUUAGCUAGUUGGUGAGGUAAAGGCUCACCAAGGCGAUGAUACAUAGCCGACCUGAGAGGGUGAUCGGCCACAGUGGGACUGAGACACGGCCCAAACUCCUACGGGAGGCAGCAGUAGGGAAUCUUCGGCAAUGGACGAAAGUCUGACCGAGCAACGCCGCGUGAGGGAAGAAGGUUUUCGGAUCGUAAAACUCUGUUGGUAGAGAAGAACGUUGGUGAGAGUGGAAAGCUCAUCAAGUGACGGUAACUACCCAGAAAGGGACGGCUAACUACGUG
Molecule: ribosomal RNA, 497 nt
Filed under: uncultured bacterium
Lineage: Bacteria
Description: partial 16S ribosomal RNA
Rfam family: Bacterial small subunit ribosomal RNA
Source: RNAcentral